GACGAACGCUGGCGGCGUGCUUAACACAUGCGAGUCGAGCGGAAAGGCCACUUCGGUGGUACUCGAGCGGCGAACGGGUGAGUAACACGUGAGUAAUCUGCCCCUGGCUUUGGGAUAGCCACCGGAAACGGUGAUUAAUACCGGAUACGACCACUUCUCGCAUGGGAUGGUGGUGGAAAGUUUUUUCGGCCAGGGAUGUGCUCGCGGCCUAUCAGCUUGAUGGUGAGGUAAUGGCUCACCAUGGCCUCGACGGGUAGCCGGCCUGAGAGGGUAACCGGUCACACUGGGACUGAGAAACGGCCCAGACUCCUACGGGAGGCAGCAGUGGGGAAUAUUGGACAAUGGGCGGAAGCCUGAUCCAGCAACGCCGCGUGAGGGAUGACGGCCUUCGGGUUGUAAACCCCUUUCAGCAGGGACGAAGCGCAAGUGACGGUACCUGCAGAAGAAGCACCGGCCAACUACGUGCCAGCCGCCGCCGUAA
RNAcentral lists this ribosomal RNA (481 nucleotides) under uncultured bacterium. RNAcentral describes it as "partial 16S ribosomal RNA". It matches the Rfam family "Bacterial small subunit ribosomal RNA", at positions 28 to 523 of the family's 1533-position model. The record is from RNAcentral.